CAUCCCCUCGUGAAGACCCCUCUCCACAGUUUUAUGCUAAAACACAGAGGGUAACCUCAGAGAGAUCACGUCCUUCAGAUUAGACGCACACGCUCGGGCUUCUCUGGUUCCCUGUACCUGUCUGUUUCGACUCCCCCACUAUAACAGACCUUUGGGAAACUUCUGCCCCAAAGAAGAAGUUCUUUUGGCCUAGAAUGCCCGUCCCUUCUUCACCUCGCCAUCUUCUUCACCUGACAAAUAGAAACGGCAAGCAAUAGGAUAUGUUAGAGUAUAUGAGGAAGCCAUUUGGUGUAAACCUAAUUCGGCCUGACUUUGUUUUUUCCAAAAG
Molecule: long non-coding RNA, 328 nt
Filed under: Equus caballus (horse)
Lineage: Eukaryota; Metazoa; Chordata; Mammalia; Perissodactyla; Equidae
Description: lncRNA (ENSECAG00000046266.1)
Source: RNAcentral